This 489-nucleotide long non-coding RNA is filed under the name Callithrix jacchus (white-tufted-ear marmoset). RNAcentral's name for it is "lncRNA (ENSCJAG00000067707.2)". The record is from RNAcentral. Lineage: Eukaryota; Metazoa; Chordata; Mammalia; Primates; Cebidae.
AUGCAAACAUUCCCAGCCCCGUGCUUUUGUGCAGGCAUCUCGCUGUAUGCGCUGGGCACGGAGCGGCGCGCGCGCGCUCGCCUUUCCCUCGGCGGCCCCCCGCGGCUCGGACCCGGGACUGCAGACAGGCCAUCCAUCAUUCGCCCUCCUCCCGCGAGCUUGGCUGCCGCGGCCAAUCCGGCGGCAGGUGGGGCCGCACCUGCAGGACAGCCCGCCACUUCCCUCCGCUCUCUCCGCCGCGCCCGGCGUGUUAGCGAUGCCCUUGUGAGCCACUGCAUUCUCCAAGGCCAGAACGAGACAGUGCAGCCCCAUGAAGUAUCCACUGCAAUAACAACCACAUACAGAAGGGCCCAGGGAAUUGAUUCUUUGGGGAUUAGAGAUAAGACUCUGGGAAUUUAUAGAAACAAACAUCAGAAGACUGAAAUGUGGAGAGAAGAAGGCUGCCUGACUAGGGAAUCUCAGGAAACAAGGAAAACAUCAAGAAUAUAG